GACGAACGCUGGCGGCGUGCUUAACACAUGCAAGUCGAACGGAAAGGCCCUGCUUUUGUUGGGUGCUCGAGUGGCGAACGGGUGAGUAACACGUGAGUAACCUGCCCUUGACUUUGGGAUAACUUCAGGAAACUGGGGCUAAUACCGGAUAGGAGCUCCUGCUGCAUGGUGGUGGUUGGAAAGUUUCGGCGGUUGGGGAUGGACUCGCGGCUUAUCAGCUUGUUGGUGGGGUAGUGGCUUACCAAGGUUUUGACGGGUAGCCGGCCUGAGAGGGUGACCGGCCACAUUGGGACUGAGAUACGGCCCAGACUCCUACGGGAGGCAGCAGUGGGGAAUAUUGCACAAUGGGCGGAAGCCUGAUGCAGCAACGCCGCGUGCGGGAUGACGGCCUUCGGGUUGUAAACCGCUUUCGCCUGUGACGAAGCGUGGGUGACGGUAAUGGGUAAAGAAGCACCGGCUAACUACGUG
RNAcentral lists this ribosomal RNA (468 nucleotides) under uncultured bacterium. RNAcentral's name for it is "partial 16S ribosomal RNA". It matches the Rfam family "Bacterial small subunit ribosomal RNA", at positions 28 to 507 of the family's 1533-position model. The record is from RNAcentral.